This 425-nucleotide ribosomal RNA is filed under the name uncultured bacterium. RNAcentral's name for it is "bacterial SSU rRNA". It matches the Rfam family "Bacterial small subunit ribosomal RNA", at positions 356 to 773 of the family's 1533-position model. The record is from RNAcentral.
GGGGAAUUUUGGACAAUGGGGGCAACCCUGAUCCAGCAACGCCGCGUGAAUGAAGAAGGCCUUAGGGUUGUAAAGUUCUUUUGUCGCAGAGCAAAGGGGAGGUGCUAAUAUCACCUUCAUAUGAGAGUAUGCGAAGAAUAAGCACCGGCUAACUACGUGCCAGCAGCCGCGGUAAUACGUAGGGUGCAAGCGUUAAUCGGAAUUACUGGGCGUAAAGCGUGCGCAGGCGGAUGAUUAAGUUAGAAGUGAAAUCCCCGGGCUUAACCUGGGAAUUGCUUUUGAUACUGGUCAUCUAGAGUUUGUCAGAGGGGGGUGGAAUUCCAAGUGUAGCAGUGAAAUGCGUAGAGAUUUGGAGGAACACCAAUGGCGAAGGCAGCCCCCUGGGAUAGAACUGACGCUCAUGCACGAAAGCGUGGGUAGCAAAC